UAGGGAAUCUUCCGCAAUGGGCGAAAGCCUGACGGAGCAACGCCGCGUGAGUGAUGAAGGUCUUCGGAUCGUAAAACUCUGUUAUUAGGGAAGAACAAAUGUGUAAGUAACUAUGCACGUCUUGACGGUACCUAAUCAGAAAGCCACGGCUAACUACGUGCCAGCAGCCGCGGUAAUACGUAGGUGGCAAGCGUUAUCCGGAAUUAUUGGGCGUAAAGCGCGCGUAGGCGGUUUUUUAAGUCUGAUGUGAAAGCCCACGGCUCAACCGUGGAGGGUCAUUGGAGACUGGAAAACUUGAGUGCAGAAGAGGAAAGUGGAAUUCCAUAUGUAGCGGUGAAAUGCGCAGAGAUAUGGAGGAACACCAGUGGCGAAGGCGACUUUCUGGUCUGUAACUGACGCUGAUGUGCGAAAGCGUGGGGAUCAAACAGG
Molecule: ribosomal RNA, 429 nt
Filed under: Actinomycetes bacterium
Lineage: Bacteria; Bacillati; Actinomycetota; Actinomycetes
Description: Actinobacteria bacterium partial 16S ribosomal RNA
Rfam family: Bacterial small subunit ribosomal RNA
Source: RNAcentral